RNAcentral lists this ribosomal RNA (372 nucleotides) under uncultured organism. RNAcentral describes it as "bacterial SSU rRNA". It matches the Rfam family "Bacterial small subunit ribosomal RNA", at positions 526 to 896 of the family's 1533-position model. The record is from RNAcentral.
CGUAGGGUGCGAGCGUUAAUCGGAAUUACUGGGCGUAAAGCGUGCGCAGGCGGUUUUGUAAGACAGGCGUGAAAUCCCCGGGCUCAACCUGGGAACUGCGUUUGUGACUGCAAGGCUAGAGUAUGGCAGAGGGGGGUGGAAUUCCACGUGUAGCAGUGAAAUGCGUAGAGAUGUGGAGGAACACCGAUGGCGAAGGCAGCCCCCUGGGCCAAUACUGACGCUCAUGCACGAAAGCGUGGGUAGCAAACAGGAUUAGAUACCCUGGUAGUCCACGCCCUAAACGAUGUCAACUAGGUGUUGGGCGGGUAAAACCAUUUAGUACCGGAGCUAACGCGUGAAGUUGACCGCCUGGGGAGUACGGCCGCAAGGUUA